GGUGGAGAAGUGUGUUCUUCAAUUACUUUUGUCUCCGACCAACAAAAGGGUCUACUACCAGCCAUACAACAGUUACUCCCAGGUGUUGACCAGAGAUUUUGUGUCAGACACUUAUAUUCAAACUUUAGGAAAAAGUUUCCUGGUAAAAAUCUGAAACAGCUGAUGUGGAGGGCAGCUACUGCCACUCAUCCACAAAACUGGGAAAGGGAGAUGAGAAACAUUAAAGAUAUAAAUGAAGACGCAUUCAAGCAUUUGAUUGCCAUCCCUCCAAGAUAUUGGUCAAGGUCCAGAUUCAGUCCAACACCAAAAUGUGACACAUUGGUCAACAAUAUCAGUGAGGC
Molecule: long non-coding RNA, 341 nt
Organism: Vigna angularis (adzuki bean)
Lineage: Eukaryota; Viridiplantae; Streptophyta; Magnoliopsida; Fabales; Fabaceae
Exons: 3
Source: RefSeq, a predicted model, not a curated record